GCGCACGCUGGCGGCAGGCCUAACACAUGCAAGUCGAACGCACCUUUCGGGGUUAGUGGCGGACGGGUGAGUAACACGUGGGAACGUGCCUUUAGGUUCGGAAUAACUCAGGGAAACUUGUGCUAAUACCGAAUGUGCCCUUCGGGGGAAAGAUUAAUCGCCUUUAGAGCGGCCCGCGUCUGAUUAGCUAGUUGGUUGAGGUAAUGGCUCACCAAGGCGACGAUCAGUAGCUGGUCUGAGAGGAUGAUCAGCCACAUUGGGACUGAGACACGGCCCAAACUCCUACGGGAGGCAGCAGUGGGGAAUCUUGCGCAAUGGGCGAAAGCCUGACGCAGCCAUGCCGCGUGAAUGAUGAAGGUCUUAGGAUUGUAAAAUUCUUUCACCGGGGACGAUAAUGACGGUACCCGGAGAAGAAGCCCCGGCUAACUUCGUG
RNAcentral lists this ribosomal RNA (433 nucleotides) under uncultured bacterium. Its description in RNAcentral is "partial 16S ribosomal RNA". It matches the Rfam family "Bacterial small subunit ribosomal RNA", at positions 29 to 507 of the family's 1533-position model. The record is from RNAcentral.